RNAcentral lists this ribosomal RNA (451 nucleotides) under uncultured bacterium. Its description in RNAcentral is "partial 16S ribosomal RNA". It matches the Rfam family "Bacterial small subunit ribosomal RNA", at positions 354 to 796 of the family's 1533-position model. The record is from RNAcentral.
GUGGGGAAUAUUGGACAAUGGGGGGAACCCUGAUCCAGCCAUGCCACGUGUGUGAAGAAGGCCUUUUGGUUGUAAAGCACUUUAAGCGAGGAGGAGGCUACCGAGAUUAAUACUCUUGGAUAGUGGACGUUACUCGCAGAAUAAGCACCGGCUAACUCUGUGCCAGCAGCCGCGGUAAUACAGAGGGUGCAAGCGUUAAUCGGAUUUACUGGGCGUAAAGCGCGCGUAGGUGGCCAAUUAAGUCAAAUGUGAAAUCCCCGAGCUUAACUUGGGAAUUGCAUUCGAUACUGGUUGGCUAGAGUAUGGGAGAGGAUGGUAGAAUUCCAGGUGUAGCGGUGAAAUGCGUAGAGAUCUGGAGGAAUACCGAUGGCGAAGGCAGCCAUCUGGCCUAAUACUGACACUGAGGUGCGAAAGCAUGGGGAGCAAACAGGAUUAGAUACCCGUGUAGUCC